RNAcentral lists this ribosomal RNA (520 nucleotides) under uncultured bacterium. Its description in RNAcentral is "bacterial SSU rRNA". It matches the Rfam family "Archaeal small subunit ribosomal RNA", at positions 345 to 866 of the family's 1478-position model. The record is from RNAcentral.
AACCUCCGCAAUGUGAGAAAUCGCGACGGGGGGAUCCCAAGUGCCAUUCUUAACGGGAUGGCUUUUCAUUAGUGUAAAGAGCUUUUGGAAUAAGAGCUGGGCAAGACCGGUGCCAGCCGCCGCGGUAACACCGGCAGCUCUAGUGGUAGCAAUUUUUAUUGGGCCUAAAGCGUCCGUAGCCGGUUUAAUAAGUCUCUGGUGAAAUCCCGCAGCUUAACUGUGGGAAUUGCUGGAGAUACUAUUAGACUUGAGACCGGGAGAGGUUAGAGGUACUCCCAGGGUAGAGGUGAAAUUCUGUAAUCCUGGGAGGACCGCCUGUUGCGAAGGCGUCUAACUGGAACGGUUCUGACGGUGAGGGACGAAAGUUAGGGGCGCGAACCGGAUUAGAUACCCGGGUAGUCCUAACUGUAACGAUGCGGACUUGGUGUUGGGGUGGUUUUGAGCCGCUUCAGUGCCGAAGGGAAGCUGUUAAGUCCGCCGCCUGGGAAGUACGGUCGCAAGACUGAAACUUAAAGGAAGU